GAUUCCAGAGUCCAAGCUCCAACAGCAAAGAUUUGGGAAGCAGGAAGCAGAAGUGUCCAAAGAAGAAAUUAAGGAAGGCAGUUCUGGGGUUGGAAUCCACUUCUGAUUUCUAACCGUGUGAUGGAGAACUUACUGCCUGCCUCCUAAGAUAACUGGACUCCAUGCUGUGGCUGGAAGGGAUGGGCUCUGGAAUGAUGAGAGGAGAUGAUGGAGGGAUAAACCCGCAGUUCUCAAUGUUUCCUGUCUUACCCUUCCGCAAGUGCUCUGCAAUCAAAACAAGAAAACAGACUCUUCCAAUGGCAUUUAUCCUGACUGAUACCAGAGGAACUGUUACUGAAUCCUUAUGUCUUACCUUUACUUCCGUGGGUUCCUGUUGCUAUCCAGGCCACCGGGGGGUAGUCAAGUCUCUCCAGGGCCUGGAGAUGUAAGAUUGUGGAUGACUCCUGGAAGCCUCAAAGGAGCAGCCGUGCCCAAAACACCACUUUUCUCAGAGCUCUCCUGUGAAGUUGGUACCACAUUUGACACGCAUGAAAACAGGCUCAGAGAGUAGUUCGCAGAUAAUAAACAGCACAGCAGGACUCUGAUGCCGAAGCCUGCUCUGGCAACCACUGUGUUGUGCGGUCUUCACCAUGCUGUUUGAGCACAGAGGACCACCUUGGACUAGGGAGGAGGCAGGGGGAGGACUGUGGAGAGCAGGAGACGUCCAGGAGGAGUUGAUAUCUGAACUGAGCCUUGGAGUAGGAUGGGGCGGGGAGGUUGUUGUUCAGUCACCAAGUCACGUCUGACUCUUUGCAACCCCAUGGACUGCAUGCCAGGCUUCCCUGUCCUUCACUGUCUCCUGGAUCUUGCUCAAAUUCACAUCCAUAGAGUCAGUGAUGCUAUCUAACCAUCUCGUCCUCUGUUGUCCCCUUCUCCUCCUGCCUUCAGUCUUUCUCAGCAUCAGAGUCUUUUCCAAUGAGUCAGCUCUUGGCAUCAGGUGGCCAAAGUAUUGGAGCUUCAACUUCAGCAUCAGUCUUUCCAAUGAAUAUUCAGGGGGUGGGGGGAGAGUCACUGUAAACAGAAGGAUCCACAGUGUGAACAGCACCUGUGUGAUCAGGGUGCAGGGCUGGAAGCAGGUUGCAUGCCCCUAAGAGCGAGUGCCUCCCUAAAUUUGCACCCUGAGCACUUCUCUUGCCCCACCCUCAUCCAAGACCUGACAGGGAGGGUGGAGUUUGGGCAGGAAGAGUUUUGAAGAGAAGGAUCCAGAAAAAGAAGGUGAAUUCAACACAACCUAAGAGACGCAAGUGGUGGUGUCUGGUUUUCAGCAUCUGAAAUGGACUCUCAGGGCACAUCGGUAGAGUCCAAAGUGGAAAACCCAAGAGGAAUGAGAACCGUUAAAAUAACCACGCGAACAACCCUCUCUGCCCAGAUUCCCCACACACCUUUCUUAUGCUCACCUUCCACUCUGGUCUUGGAUAUCACUUCCUCCAGGAAGCAUCCCUGGGUCCCCCAGGCUUGCCUUAGGGCACUUGGGUUCCUAUUUCGGAAUUGCUCUUGGCCUUUCUGUUUCCACACUAGGCUGUGCAUUCCCUGAGGACAGGGGUUGGGUCUUCUGACCCUUCCAUCUCCAGCAGAGCAUGUGGCUCAUAGUAGCUGCUCAGUAACAGACAGUCAGAUGAAAGAAUAACAAACAGCCUCCCAGGGGCCUCUGCCAAGUUCAGGCCAUUUUCUCUUUGUCUCUGGAGUACUGCCAACCUCAGCAUUAGGAAUCCAACAUGUGUUGGAACCAGGAGAAACCUUAAAAAUCAUUUAUUUAUCUCCUUCCUCCCACCUUUUCCGGAUGGGUUGAUUG
Bos taurus (domestic cattle) is the source of this 1831-nucleotide long non-coding RNA. NCBI's taxonomy places the organism in Eukaryota, Metazoa, Chordata, Mammalia, Artiodactyla, Bovidae. The record is from Ensembl.